GGGGGGCCCAUCCUCCAAGGCUAAAUACUCCUGACUGACCGAUAGUGAACCAGUACCGUGAGGGAAAGGCGAAAAGAACCCCGGCGAGGGGAGUGAAAAAGAACCUGAAACCGUGUACGUACAAGCAGUGGGAGCACGCUUAGGCGUGUGACUGCGUACCUUUUGUAUAAUGGGUCAGCGACUUAUAUUCUGUAGCAAGGUUAACCGAAUAGGGGAGCCGAAGGGAAACCGAGUCUUAACUGGGCGUUAAGUUGCAGGGUAUAGACCCGAAACCCGGUGAUCUAGCCAUGGGCAGGUUGAAGGUUGGGUAACACUAACUGGAGGACCGAACCGACUAAUGUUGAAAAAUUAGCGGAUGACUUGUGGCUGGGGGUGAAAGGCCAAUCAAACCGGGAGAUAGCUGGUUCUCCCCGAAAGCUAUUUAGGUAGCGCCUCGUGAAUUCAUCUCCGGGGGUAGAGCACUGUUUCGGCAAGGGGGUCAUCCCGACUUACCAACCCGAUGCAAACUGCGAAUACCGGAGAAUGUUAUCACGGGAGACACACGGCGGGUGCUAACGUCCGUCGUGAAGAGGGAAACAACCCAGACCGCCAGCUAAGGUCCCAAAGUCAUGGUUAAGUGGGAAACGAUGUGGGAAGGCCCAGACAGCCAGGAUGUUGGCUUAGAAGCAGCCAUCAUUUAAAGAAAGCGUAAUAGCUCACUGGUCGAGUCGGCCUGCGCGGAAGAUGUAACGGGGCUAAACCAUGCACCGAAGCUGCGGCAGCGACGCUUAUGCGUUGUUGGGUAGGGGAGCGUUCUGUAAGCCUGCGAAGGUGUGCUGUGAGGCAUGCUGGAGGUAUCAGAAGUGCGAAUGCUGACAUAAGUAACGAUAAAGCGGGUGAAAAGCCCGCUCGCCGGAAGACCAAGGGUUCCUGUCCAACGUUAAUCGGGGCAGGGUGAGUCGACCCCUAAGGCGAGGCCGAAAGGCGUAGUCGAUGGGAAACAGGUUAAUAUUCCUGUACUUGGUGUUACUGCGAAGGGGGGACGGAGAAGGCUAUGUUGGCCGGGCGACGGUUGUCCCGGUUUAAGCGUGUAGGCUGGUUUUCCAGGCAAAUCCGGAAAAUCAAGGCUGAGGCGUGAUGACGAGGCACUACGGUGCUGAAGCAACAAAUGCCCUGCUUCCAGGAAAAGCCUCUAAGCAUCAGGUAACAUCAAAUCGUACCCCAAACCGACACAGGUGGUCAGGUAGAGAAUACCAAGGCGCUUGAGAGAACUCGGGUGAAGGAACUAGGCAAAAUGGUGCCGUAACUUCGGGAGAAGGCACGCUGAUAUGUAGGUGAAGUCCCUUGCGGAUGGAGCUGAAAUCAGUCGAAGAUACCAGCUGGCUGCAACUGUUUAUUAAAAACACAGCACUGUGCAAACACGAAAGUGGACGUAUACGGUGUGACGCCUGCCCGGUGCCGGAAGGUUAAUUGAUGGGGUCAGCGCAAGCGAAGCUCUUGAUCGAAGCCCCGGUAAACGGCGGCCGUAACUAUAACGGUCCUAAGGUAGCGAAAUUCCUUGUCGGGUAAGUUCCGACCUGCACGAAUGGCGUAAUGAUGGCCAGGCUGUCUCCACCCGAGACUCAGUGAAAUUGAACUCGCUGUGAAGAUGCAGUGUACCCGCGGCAAGACGGAAAGACCCCGUGAACCUUUACUAUAGCUUGACACUGAACAUUGAGCCUUGAUGUGUAGGAUAGGUGGGAGGCUUUGAAGUGUGGACGCCAGUCUGCAUGGAGCCGGCCUUGAAAUACCACCCUUUAAUGUUUGAUGUUCUAACGUGGACCCGUGAUCCGGGUUGCGGACAGUGUCUGGUGGGUAGUUUGACUGGGGCGGUCUCCUCCUAAAGAGUAACGGAGGAGCACGAAGGUUGGCUAAUCCUGGUCGGACAUCAGGAGGUUAGUGCAAUGGCAUAAGCCAGCUUGACUGCGAGCGUGACGGCGCGAGCAGGUGCGAAAGCAGGUCAUAGUGAUCCGGUGGUUCUGAAUGGAAGGGCCAUCGCUCAACGGAUAAAAGGUACUCCGGGGAUAACAGGCUGAUACCGCCCAAGAGUUCAUAUCGACGGCGGUGUUUGGCACCUCGAUGUCGGCUCAUCACAUCCUGGGGCUGAAGUAGGUCCCAAGGGUAUGGCUGUUCGCCAUUUAAAGUGGUACGCGAGCUGGGUUUAGAACGUCGUGAGACAGUUCGGUCCCUAUCUGCCGUGGGCGCUGGAGAACUGAGGGGGGCUGCUCCUAGUACGAGAGGACCGGAGUGGACGCAUCACUGGUGUUCGGGUUGUCAUGCCAAUGGCACUGCCCGGUAGCUAAAUGCGGAAGAGAUAAGUGCUGAAAGCAUCUAAGCACGAAACUUGCCCCGAGAUGAGUUCUCCCUGACCCUUUAAGGGUCCUGAAGGAACGUUGAAGACGACGACGUUGAUAGGCCGGGUGUGUAAGCGCAGCGAUGCGUUGAGCUAACCGGUACUAAUGAACCGUGAGG
This 2490-nucleotide ribosomal RNA is filed under the name Shigella sonnei. RNAcentral's name for it is "partial 23S ribosomal RNA". It matches the Rfam family "Bacterial large subunit ribosomal RNA", at positions 446 to 2915 of the family's 2925-position model. Lineage: Bacteria; Pseudomonadati; Pseudomonadota; Gammaproteobacteria; Enterobacterales; Enterobacteriaceae. The record is from RNAcentral.